GCUAAAUCAGACUAUUUUGAUUCAGAGUGGGGAGGAGAAACAAGGCAACAUUGGAACUGUUCACACAGCUACCUCACAGUGAGGUCUGCUGUCUUCUUUUCUGGCAUCUCCAUGAAGAGGUGCUGACUGAGAAGUUUACCGCUUUUUCUGAAGUGGUACUUUUUUAUGUUUAAGUCACUCAAAGUGUCACUGGAACCCACAGGUACCACUUCCAGGUCUGCCAGAUGCUAACCCUCGCACUGCCCAUGUCCCACCUGGUCCAGGAGUGUUUGAUGAUGAGGUUGCUGCAUUCAGGUUGCAUUGCUGCAACCAAAGAAAGCUUGCUAUUGUGAACUGGCAAGUAUGAGAAGAUGGACGCAAUUCCUCAUGCACUGGGGCUCAGCUCCAGGUAUUUUUUGAGGUAAGGAUAAAAGAACAUAUGUCAAGUUGUUUCUUGAUGCAA
This is a long non-coding RNA of Oxyura jamaicensis (ruddy duck), 442 nucleotides long. RefSeq lists it as uncharacterized. Lineage: Eukaryota; Metazoa; Chordata; Aves; Anseriformes; Anatidae. The transcript has 3 exons. The record is from RefSeq and is a predicted model, not a curated record.